GGAGGGAUGGCCGAGCGGUUUAAGGCACCGGUCUUGAAAACCGGCGAGGAUGCAAGUCCUCCGUGGGUUCGAAUCCCACUCCCUCCGCCA
This 90-nucleotide transfer RNA is filed under the name Mesorhizobium sp. NBSH29. Its description in RNAcentral is "tRNA-Ser". It matches the Rfam family "tRNA". From Rfam's summary of the family: Transfer RNA (tRNA) molecules are approximately 80 nucleotides in length. Their secondary structure includes four short double-helical elements and three loops (D, anti-codon, and T loops). Further hydrogen bonds mediate the characteristic L-shaped molecular structure. tRNAs have two regions of fundamental functional importance: the anti-codon, which is responsible for specific mRNA codon recognition, and the 3' end, to which the tRNAs corresponding amino acid is attached (by aminoacyl-tRNA synthetases). tRNAs cope with the degeneracy of the genetic code in two manners: having more than one tRNA (with a specific anti-codon) for a particular amino acid; and 'wobble' base-pairing, i.e. permitting non-standard base-pairing at the 3rd anti-codon position. Lineage: Bacteria; Pseudomonadati; Pseudomonadota; Alphaproteobacteria; Hyphomicrobiales; Phyllobacteriaceae. The record is from RNAcentral. RNAcentral also lists the same sequence under 1 other name.